RNAcentral lists this ribosomal RNA (440 nucleotides) under uncultured bacterium. RNAcentral describes it as "partial 16S ribosomal RNA". It matches the Rfam family "Bacterial small subunit ribosomal RNA", at positions 338 to 795 of the family's 1533-position model. The record is from RNAcentral.
CCUACGGGUGGCAGCAGUGGGGAAUAUUGCACAAUGGGGGAAACCCUGAUGCAGCAACGCCGCGUGAGUGAUGACGGCCCUCGGGUUGUAAAGCUCUGUCUUCAGGGACGAUAAUGACGGUACCUGACGAGGAAGCCCCGGCUAACUACGUGCCAGCAGCCGCGGUAAUACGUAGGUGGCGAGCGUUGUCCGGAUUUACUGGGCGUAAAGGGAGCGUAGGCGGCAGUUUAAGUGAGAGGUGAAAUCCCGGGGCUCAACUUCGGAGCUGCAUUUCAAACUGUGCGGCUAGAGUGCAGGAGCGGUGAGCGGAAUGCCUAGUGUAGCGGUGAAAUGCGUAGAGAUUAGGAAGAACACCAGUGGCGAAGGCGACUUUCUGGACUGUAACUGACGUUGAGGCUCGAAAGCGUGGGGAGCAAACAGGAUUAGAUACCCGGGUAGUC